CUGACUGGAGUUGUUAGGCAUGACAACGGCCAUGCCGUCGUUGGUUCGGGGUCCGCGACAGAAUCAACGCGCGCCUCUUCAUCCUUGUGUCCGACCACCGUUGGGCUGGAACACGUACGUGCAUCAUUAGAGUCGGCAUUGUCAUGAGCCCGAGGGCAGUAGGGUACGUGCACGAGGCGAUGCUUGGCUUGCUCGGUGUUGGCCAAAUCCGCGUUGGCGAGUACUUUUCCAUGAUAAGCCACGACGGACAAUGGACAACGACGAAGCAACGCUGACAACGAUCCUGAUGAAGUUACUUUACGUGAUGCACCGCAGUGCAAAGCUAGCUUCCUGCUAGUUGGCUCCUCGUCGAUCCACUAAUGCAGCGCGAAGCUAGCCGCCCUGCUCCCAAUAAAAGCCCUUUGCGAUACCUUUAUGAAUCAAGUUGUUAGAAAUUGUCAAUUACAUCUAUUUGACUUCAAAAAUAAUCUUGAAUUCUUGAUAUACGAUUGCAAACAUACAUAGUGACACACACAUUAUUUAAUGUAAUUUCAGUUCAGAGCAGUUUAUACAAUGAUACAAGAAAAACAUGAUACGGAGUACUACAAGUGAAAACCAUCAGCAGAGGAAAAAGGAAAACUGGAAAAGUAUCCAAGAAAAUCACAAGGUGCGGCAGCCGGCGGUGAAGCAGCCAUCACGGGAUGGAGCGCCAAGUGGGCUAGCGAUGCAUAGGGCAGAGGGCAGUGGCCGGGAGACUGGAAGGAGGGGUGGGGAGUGCCAACGGGGGCGACGCCAUGGCGGAUGGCGGCGUGAGCGCCGGAAUCUGGAGAUCCAUCCCGCCGUCCUGCGUGCGUGUGACUCGGUGCGGCCGCGUCAGGGUUGUGUCUUGUUCCUUUUCCUGCAGUAGCGAUGCGUAUUCAGACUUCUGUGCCUCGUGUGUGUAUGAGUAGGAUCGUAUGGAUUUUCUUUUUCGAGUGGAAAUUAGAUCGUGUGAUGGUGUUGGAUCGUGUGUGCAUCGUGG
Molecule: long non-coding RNA, 1000 nt
Filed under: Hordeum vulgare
Lineage: Eukaryota; Viridiplantae; Streptophyta; Magnoliopsida; Poales; Poaceae
Description: long non-coding RNA (HVUL_LNC010293)
Source: RNAcentral